This 372-nucleotide ribosomal RNA is filed under the name uncultured organism. RNAcentral describes it as "bacterial SSU rRNA". It matches the Rfam family "Bacterial small subunit ribosomal RNA", at positions 526 to 896 of the family's 1533-position model. The record is from RNAcentral.
CAGAGGUCCCAAGCGUUGUUCGGAUUCACUGGGCGUAAAGGGUGCGUAGGUAGUGGGGUAAGUUUGAUGUGAAAGCUCCGAGCUUAACUCGGAAAUGGCAUUGAAUACUAUCCUGCUUGAGGGUUGGAGGGGGGACUGGAAUUCUCGGUGUAGCAGUGAAAUGCGUAGAUAUCGAGAGGAACACCAGUGGCGAAGGCGAGUCCCUGGACAACUCCUGACACUGAGGCACGAAAGCUAGGGGAGCAAACAGGAUUAGAUACCCUGGUAGUCCUAGCCGUAAACGGUGCACGUUUGCUGUAAAAGGAAUCGACCCCUUUUGUGGCGUAGCCAACGCGUUAAACGUGCCGCCUGGGAAGUACGGUCGCAAGAUUA